UUGGAGAUGGAGCUUGAUCCCAACACGCGAGAUUCUUCUACAAGAGGAAGCAUCCUGUACCCUGACUGGUUGCAUCGUGAUCUGGAUGGCGAUUCGAAUCCGCAGGAAUGUAAGAAGCUGCAGAGAGUAGUGGAUUCUGCCCAAUACAUCACGGGUACAUCCCUCCCCACCAUCGGUGGUAUCUACAGGAGGUGCUGCCUCAAGAAGGCAACAUCCAUGAUCAAAGAUCCCCACCAUCCGGGCCAUGCCAUUUUUUUUUAUUUACAGCAUGGUAACAGGCCCUUCCGGCCCAACGAGUCCGCGCCGCCCAUUUUAAACCCAAAUUGACCUACCCGUACGUCUUUUAGAAUGUGGGAGGAAACCGGAGCACCCGGAGGAAACUCACGCAGACACGGGAGGACGUACAAACUCCUUACAGACAGCGACGGGAACCGUUGUGCUAACCGCUACGCUACCAUGCUUCUCGCAGCUACCAUCGGGCAGGAGAUACAGAAGCCUGAAGUCCCACACCACCAGGUUCAAGAACAGCUACUUCCCUUCAACCAUUCGGUUCUUGAACCCAUCGGCACAACCCUAAUCACUACCUCAGUAUAGCAACACUAUGACCCUUUGCACUAAAAUGGACUUUGUGAUUUUUUUGUUCUAAUUGUGUUAUUUCUUGUAUAAAUUGUGUUUAAUUUAUGUUUAAAUUAUGCUUUUCUUGUGAAUGCUGCUUAUCUGAUGCUAUGUGCCUGUGAUGCUGCUGCAAGUAAGUUUUUCGUUGCACCUGUGCACACAUGGACUUGUGCAGAUGACAAUAAACUUGACUUUGACUUUGA
Long non-coding RNA from Pristis pectinata (smalltooth sawfish), 818 nucleotides. RefSeq lists it as uncharacterized. The transcript is spliced from 2 exons. The record is from RefSeq and is a predicted model, not a curated record. Lineage: Eukaryota; Metazoa; Chordata; Chondrichthyes; Rhinopristiformes; Pristidae.